This 253-nucleotide ribosomal RNA is filed under the name uncultured bacterium. Its description in RNAcentral is "partial 16S ribosomal RNA". It matches the Rfam family "Bacterial small subunit ribosomal RNA", at positions 524 to 776 of the family's 1533-position model. The record is from RNAcentral.
UACGGAGGGUGCAAGCGUUAUCCGGAUUUACUGGGUUUAAAGGGUGCGCAGGCGGAUAUGUAAGUCAGUGGUGAAAUCUCUAGGCUUAACCUGGAAAUUGCCGUUGAUACUAUAUAUCUUAAAUGCUGUGGAGGUAAGCGGAAUAUGUCAUGUAGCGGUGAAAUGCUUAGAUAUGACAUAGAACACCUAUUGCGAAGGCAGCUUACUACGCAGAUAUUGACGCUCAUGCACGAAAGCGUGGGGAUCAAACAGG